RNAcentral lists this ribosomal RNA (484 nucleotides) under uncultured bacterium. RNAcentral describes it as "partial 16S ribosomal RNA". It matches the Rfam family "Bacterial small subunit ribosomal RNA", at positions 30 to 507 of the family's 1533-position model. The record is from RNAcentral.
AUUGAACGCUGGCGGCAGGCCUAACACAUGCCAGUCGAGCGGAUGAAGGGAGCUUGCUCCUGGAUUCAGCGGCGGACGGGUGAGUAAUGCCUAGGAAUCUGCCUGGUAGUGGGGGAUAACGUCCGGAAACGGGCGCUAAUACCGCAUACGUCCUGAGGGAGAAAGUGGGGGAUCUUCGGACCUCACGCUAUCAGAUGAGCCUAGGUCGGAUUAGCUAGUUGGUGGGGUAAAGGCCUACCAAGGCGACGAUCCGUAGCUGGUCUGAGAGGAUGAUCAGUCACACUGGAACUGAGACACGGUCCAGACUCCUACGGGAGGCAGCAGUGGGGAAUAUUGGACAAUGGGCGAAAGCCUGAUCCAGCCAUGCCGCGUGUGUGAAGAAGGUCUUCGGAUUGUAAGGCACUUUAAGUUGGGAGGAAGGGCAGUAAGUUAAUACCUUGCUGUUUUGACGUUACCAACAGAAUAAGCACCGGCUAACUUCGUG